AAAUUUUUUUAGAUAUAAGACAUAUGAGUACCAUGAUGUAAAUAAAUUUAAUAAAAAAUCAUGUAAUACAAUUUCUUUUUGCAUAGAACUCAUGUGAAACAUCACUAAGGAACUUUAACAAAAAAAAACAAAAAAAAAUCACUAAGGAUAAAACUUAAUGGAUGACAAUGAAGAACAAUCCCAUCCUUGUAGCAUAAAUAAGGCACAUUCUGCAAUGAAAGCGAGAAAAAAAAAUCAACAAUGUAGCACAUUGGAUUGCAACUCAAAAUUAUCUUGUGGAAGGCCAACUUACGAUCAAAAUAGAUGCAAUAUGAGUUGCUGUCGCUUGAGCAGGCAUCUUAAUUUAAAAAAAGGCAACUCCCUUCCCCUCUCCUCCCAUGUCAAGCUCGAGUCCCUCCUCUCCACUUUCUUUGAUGUCGCUGCCAGCCUUGCCAUCCCCAUGAGGCCUACGCCUGCCUCCACCAUCUCAAACUUCACCAUAGUAAGCCUCUGUUCUUCCACCUUUCCCUUCUCUUGUUGCCCUCUCCACUGUUGCCUCUUCUAGGAGGCUCACGGCCACCUUCUUCUCCUUGGACUUCACCGUACUACCCUUGUCUUUCACUUCCCCCUCCUCCUCCUCCUUCGCCAACCACCAAUGCCUAUCACUCUUCCCCUCGUCUUCACCUUUUCCACCCAUCUCAAAUGACUAUAUCAUUGCCUGCUCCAUCCAGCCCUAUAGGCACCGAGGUCCACAACUAGGCCCCCGCAGCCGGUAGUUUUCAUGCGGCCGUGUCAUCCAAAAAACCUUCAUCUCCAUGCUCCUUGAGUGCUCGGACGUGGAACUUGCUCGUAAGUGUGACUUGAGUUGUAGUGCAACUUCAACUACAAGAAUCCGAAUAGCUCCGAAGAGUAGUUCACCACUCUACAUCUUGACCGUGAUGGUGCCUUCUCUCACCUCAAAGCAUCACUAUGCUGCAAAGAAUAUGCUUUUAGAGACUCACAUCGGGGUGGAUAUGUUGACCCCACCAAGGAUAUUUUGCUACCCUCGAUAUAUGUGCCAUCUUCUAUGGUUUAACAAUGAUUAUAGUGGCAUUGUCAAUCAAGACAACAUCCAAAUGGAGAUGAUCAUUGAUGCAGGAGCAUAAUCCAAGCUUUUGUGGCAUGUCAAGAUGAAGAUGUCAGCAUAUCAGGGGUAACUUAGAAUCUAAUUCUGAAGCUAUUUACGUAUAAUUAGCAAGCAUGCCAUACACCAUUGAAAAGCUCUAUCUCUAGUUUCCAACGCACCUGACCUCGUGCCAUUUGAAGAUUUCUAGAAAAAGUUAUGGUAUUUUUACUACAGGAUGUUAGGACUGGCAGCAUGCAGCGAAUUUCAAAGUGCAUUUACUUUGGUUCUUUUUCCAGCACAUAUUUUCAUUUUUCUAAGUAUCUUUUUAUAUUUCUAAAUAUUAGAACAUGAAUUAACGUGUUUCAGCAAUGUUCUAUCUUCCCUAUACUUGGAGGGAUGUUCCAAGAUAGCUUAUAAAAAAAAUAGUACAUGAAUGAAGAAAGGAGAGUUGUUGAUUGAGAAAAACUUUUCUUGCAAGUUUUUCUUGCUUUAGGAGUUGAGUGGCAUCCUUCUGCCAAUCAAGCAUGUGGCUUGGUCACGUCGAGUGGCCUCCGCUACCCCUGGUUGAGUGGCAUCCCAGAACUAUCCUUCUUCCCUUGGUUGAAUCCUUUUCGGGUUUGGCCAAGCCUUAAGGGUCUCGACCUGCAUCAAAUUGGUAUCAGAGCAAGUUUUCCUAUCGUGGUGAUCAGUUUUCUCUAUUGGGCUCCAUUAUUUCGAAUUUGCUCUAUCUCCUUUAUAUCUCCGGGUCCUUUACAAUGCCUUCACGAUGUCAAACGAAUAUGGAACGUGAUAAUGUACAAGCUGAACUUGCUGUAUUACGAGAUCUAAUCAAGCACUUACAGACAUGGUAAAUAAACUUUGUCAACGGUUUCAAGCUUCACCAACUCGAAGCUAUAGGAGUCAAGAAAGUGAACACAAUAUCUUCUUCAAUGACAACAGCCAUAAUGACCGUUCAUCUUCUUUCAGUUCUGUUCCAGAACCUAGUGUCACUGAUCAAUGGUCCAUGGAACGUUUGGCCCAUACAUUAGAAAAUACUGAUCGAAGCAUCCAAGUUCAUAUGCAAGACUUUGAUGGCAAACUUAAUGCUGAUGAAUAUUGUGAUUGGAUGGCAUCCUUAGAAGCUUUCUUUGAUUGGAAAGAUCUCACAGAUGAAAGAAAGGUACAGAUCGUUGCUACAAAGUUGAAAGGUCAUGCUCUAAUCUGGUAGCAACAAUAUCAGCGUAGUAGAGAUCGAAGAUGAAUUCCAAGAGUCAAUACCUGGGCUGAGAUGAAGUUGAAGUUUGAUGAGAAUUUCUUUCCUUGGAUUAUUCUCAAACCCUCUACCAAAAGUUCCAUCAAUUGCAUCAACGUGUAGAGCAAUCUGUUGGUGAUUAUACAGAGCAAUUUUACAAACUUAUGAGUCAUAUGAACUUGCAAGAAUCAGAUGAUCAACUGGUGGCAAGAUAUUUGAGUAGACUGAAAUAUAGCCUCAAAUGCGAGCUUAUGAUGCAUUCAUUUCAUUCUUUUGAGGAAGCAUAUCAAAAGGCAUUGAAGGUCGAAGAGAAAAUGAAAUGGAGUUCAUACCGAAAGGUUGAAAGUUCAAAAAUGGUGAAGGAGAAGGGUAAGAAGUUGGCUCCUAUCUCUGGAAAAACCAGCCCAAUAGCAAGGUGGAGGAAGUAAGGAGCGUGGGAAGUUUCAUUCAUCUUCCAAUAGAUGUUUCCGAUGUGGUGAAGUUGGGCAUAGAUCCUUUGAAUGUCCAAAAAAGAAAGCUGAACUGCAUCUCUUGGAAGAUGAAGAUGAAGAGCCAAUUUAUGAUGAGGAACCUGAGGCUAAUCUUGAUGAAGAAUAUUGUGAAGGUGAUUGUGAUGCGGAAAGCCUUGUAAUCCGAUGAGUGUUGAUUACUCAAGAAGAUGAUAGAUGGUUGAGGCAUAACAUUUUCAGAACCUAUUGUCUUUCCUAUGGAAAGAAGUGCAACUUAAUGAUUGACUCGGAAAGUUGUGAGAACAUGGUGUCAAAAAUAAUGGUAGAAAAGCUAAAACUUUCUUGUGAACCCCACCCAAAGCCUUACAAAGUCUCUUGGUUCAAAAGGGUGGAGAAAUCAUGGUGACUCAAAGGUGCAAGGUAAAGUUUUCCAUUGGCAAGUAUGAAGAUGAGAUUUAUUUUGAUGUGCUGCCCAUGAAUGCCUGUUAUUUGCUUCUUGGCAGACCAUGACAAUUUGAUAGGAGUGCUCAUCAUAAUGGAAGGAAGAACACUUACACUAUUUUCCACAAUGGAAUGAAGUAUGUACUGACCCCUAUGAAGGACAUUCCAGAUAGUGUGUCUUCUUCAAACCAGAUUAGUUUAUUAUCUUCCAGAUGAAGUUGAAGGCUUGCCGGACAGAUUCAAAGGCCUAACUCCUGAUGAACUUCCUGUUGAUGAACUUCCUGUUGAUUUACUACCACUUCGAGACAUUCAGCACUAGAUUGAUUUCGUUCCAGAUAUUAUUCUUUCUAAUUUGCCUCAUUAUAGAAUGUUUCCUAGUAAACAUGCUGAGUUACACAGACAAAUAAUUGAUUUAUUGAAAAAGGAGUUGAUUAGAGAAUCUCUUAGUUCUUGUGUUGUUCCUGCCUUAAGAAGGAUAAAACAUGAAAAAUGUGUUGAUGGUAGAGCUAUAAACAAUAUCACAAUCAAAUAUAGGUUUCCAUACCUAAACUUAUAUGCUUGAUGAGUUGGCUGGUGCAAAAUUGUUUUCUAUCAAAUCAAUCACUAAAUAUGAGAUGCGAGCUAUAUUGAUUAAUGGUGAUUCAAGCUGAUCUUUUGGAAUUUAUGCUGAAUUCUUUCCUAUAUAAAUUAUGAAACAUAAUGCGAAAACCAAGGGUUUGAGGCUUAGGAACGGAUGCCUCUGCUACAUAUAUGACAAAUCGGAGUACAAGAGGAGAACGAAUUAGGGGAUGCUGAAACCCACGGAAUCCUCGUUGUUAAUUUUUUUUUUUUCAAAGAAUUAUAAUAUUCUCUGUUCCGUCUUGAUUAAUAGCGUAUAGAGACAGAUUGAAGGGAGGAUUUGAUAAAAGGAACUUUAUUAUUAUUACCCAUCUACAAUUACAAGAGGAAAGCACUUAAAAGCGAAAGAUAGAGACAGAUUUAAGGGAGGAUUUCAUAAAGGAACUUUAUUAUUAUUACCCAAC
Molecule: non-coding RNA, 4227 nt
Organism: Phoenix dactylifera (date palm)
Lineage: Eukaryota; Viridiplantae; Streptophyta; Magnoliopsida; Arecales; Arecaceae
Source: RefSeq, a predicted model, not a curated record